Dendronephthya gigantea is the source of this 1146-nucleotide long non-coding RNA. RefSeq lists it as uncharacterized. Lineage: Eukaryota; Metazoa; Cnidaria; Anthozoa; Malacalcyonacea; Nephtheidae. The record is from RefSeq and is a predicted model, not a curated record. The transcript is spliced from 3 exons.
UUCUGAAGAAGCGCAGAAAGAGUCCGAAUUGCAACUCUCGCAAAGAGUGUGGUCGACACAUUUUUUAUCUUUGCAGCAUUCGCCUCUUCCACCACAAUCACCGUCUGUGAUACAAUGCUGACCAAUACAGUCAUAAGGACGACAUUUUCUAUCGCUCAACUGGGAAAUUCCUUUACAACAAACAACAAGAAAUUCCCGAAAACUUCUCUUGCAGUCUGAAUUUGUGAAACAUUCAUCUGUCGCCACAGCUACAUGGACUACAGCGAUUGAUAUUAUACUGCCACAUAGAAGAAAAAAUAGAGGUUUUAUAAAUGCCGCCAGAAAAAUACCGCUAAAGUAUUUCGCUCGGGCAAUUAUACAAAAGAAGCGAAUUGUGUUCAUAGACCAAAGAUGGCAACGAGAGGGCCAACAAGAUGGGAUGUCUCGAAAAAUUGCGAGAAAUUUUGAGAUGAGGUUAUAUGUGUCGAACGAAAAGUUGGAAACGUUUUGUGAAUCAGGUUCGUAUUCAAUUAAAUGAAAAUCUGCGAGACCAAGCACUACUCCUGCAAACUGGAAAAUGGAAAGAAAGCAGAAGGAAAACCAGGUUCAAAGCGAUCGAAUCCUUCUUUUAAAGCGCAGUUUCUGCUGUUCCUCUUGAAAGUCUUUCUCACGUUAUUGCUGAGGGUGGUAAUGCUACAGUGUUGUGAAAUAAUAUCUACUGGUGGUGAUAUUCCAACAAGUCCUCUACCAUCAGAGUUCUUUAUCACUGGGAUAAAAAAUGCGUUGGAACGUGUUCGUCACUUUCAGGAUGUAUUUCAGGACGAUAUUUCACCUGAACGUGGAUACCCCGCUCUCGCCUCCGCGAUGCCGUAUUAUCGUGUGCUUUUUAGAUUGCUAGCGUUAGAAUUAUCGAACAGUUAAAUAACGGAACAACUUUCGCUGUGUAGCGGUAUUUCUGACGUUUCGUGAACUAAGCGUGUAAUUGCAUGUGGUUCGCUCUUAGUGUCCUUACUGUGGCAUGGCAAACGAGCUAACAUUAGGUAGGAAGGACUUGUGUUUCAAUUUUAAACAAAAGCGGUGAGCCCCUGAAUUUUCGAUUUUGGUGCAUAGUGAGGACGCGCGUCGACAUCGAUUAGAAUCACAGGGAAUGCUCGUAUUAAAACAGAA